CUGGUUUUUUGUCAAUAAGAUGGCGGGCGCUGUGAAAACAUGGCUGUGUGUCAGCCCGGGGGCCAGUCUUCGAACAGGGCUGUUCUCCCACCGAAGUAUUCACAUGUACGAUACGACGCAACACGGACGCAAGGGCAGCGCAAGG
RNAcentral lists this ribosomal RNA (145 nucleotides) under Gloeochaete wittrockiana. RNAcentral describes it as "partial Eukaryotic large subunit ribosomal RNA". Lineage: Eukaryota; Glaucocystophyceae; Gloeochaetales; Gloeochaetaceae. The record is from RNAcentral.